AUUGAACGCUGGCGGCAGGCCUAACACAUGCAAGUCGAGCGGAUGAAGGGAGCUUGCUCCUGGAUUCAGCGGCGGACGGGUGAGUAAUGCCUAGGAAUCUGCCUGGUAGUGGGGGAUAACGCCCGGAAACGGGCGCUAAUACCGCAUACGUCCUGAGGGAGAAAGUGGGGGAUCUUCGGACCUCACGCUAUCAGAUGAGCCUAGGUCGGAUUAGCUAGUUGGUGGGGUAAAGGCCUACCAAGGCGACGAUCCGUAACUGGUCUGAGAGGAUGAUCAGUCACACUGGAACUGAGACACGGUCCAGACUCCUACGGGAGGCAGCAGUGGGGAAUAUUGGACAAUGGGCGAAAGCCUGAUCCAGCCAUGUCGCGUGUGUGAAGAAGGUCUUCGGAUUGUAAAGCACUUUAAGUUGGGAGGAAGGGCAGUAAGUUAAUACCUUGCUGUUUUGACGUUACCAACAGAAUAAGCACCGGCUAACUUCGUG
This 484-nucleotide ribosomal RNA is filed under the name uncultured bacterium. RNAcentral's name for it is "partial 16S ribosomal RNA". It matches the Rfam family "Bacterial small subunit ribosomal RNA", at positions 30 to 507 of the family's 1533-position model. The record is from RNAcentral.